UAGGGAAUCUUCCGCAAUGGACGAAAGUCUGACGGAGCAACGCCGCGUGAGUGAAGAAGGAUUUCGGUUCGUAAAACUCUGUUGUUAGGGAAGAAAAAAUGUAUAGUAACUAUAUACAAAAGAGACGGUACCUAACCAGAAAGCCACGGCUAACUACGUGCCAGCAGCCGCGGUAAUACGUAGGUGGCAAGCGUUGUCCGGAAUUAUUGGGCGUAAAGCGCGCGCAGGUGGUUUAGAAAGACUGAUGUGAAAGCCCACGGCGCAACCGUGGAGGGUCAUUUGAAACUAAUAAACUUGAGUGCAGGAGAGAAAAGUGGAAUUCCUAGUGUAGCAGUGAAAUGCGUAGAGAUUAGGAGGAACACCGGUGGCGAAAGCGGCUUUUUGGCCUGCAACUGACACUGAGGCGCGAAAGCGUGGGGAGCAAACAGG
RNAcentral lists this ribosomal RNA (429 nucleotides) under Verrucomicrobiota bacterium. RNAcentral describes it as "Verrucomicrobia bacterium partial 16S ribosomal RNA". It matches the Rfam family "Bacterial small subunit ribosomal RNA", at positions 355 to 776 of the family's 1533-position model. Lineage: Bacteria; Pseudomonadati; Verrucomicrobiota. The record is from RNAcentral.